AAUCCGAUGUACCUCCCAUCGAAUACCCGGGAUGUUGUGAAAAGUGUGGGUAGUAGGGUGGCUGAACAAAUCCCGAGGCCUGAGUGCCUCCUUGGGACUCUCCCAUACCUUCUUCCGACAUGCUAACUCCCAAACUGCCAUCCCUCCUCUGCUCUACAUCCAUCUGGUCCCCCACUUCCUCUGACAUUCCGCCCUGAACUGUUCCUCUAACUGAUCUGCUC
Molecule: long non-coding RNA, 221 nt
Filed under: Manihot esculenta (cassava)
Lineage: Eukaryota; Viridiplantae; Streptophyta; Magnoliopsida; Malpighiales; Euphorbiaceae
Description: long non-coding RNA (MESC_LNC010839)
Source: RNAcentral